RNAcentral lists this long non-coding RNA (599 nucleotides) under Homo sapiens (human). RNAcentral's name for it is "non-protein coding lnc-TUBB2B-10:4". The record is from RNAcentral. Lineage: Eukaryota; Metazoa; Chordata; Mammalia; Primates; Hominidae.
GGUGCACGGUGCAUGGAGAUAGGGAAGAGAGAGUUGGGAAUCCCUGGGAUGUGCGCCCUGUAACGGGAAGGAGCGGGAGAAGACACUUAUUUCAGUUAGGAGGAGAGAAUGGCACAAGACUGCGAAGAGCAAUCUCCAGUUCUUUCUAGUUCUCUUCUAGGUCAUCCUCUGCCCUGGCUUCAUUCUCACGCUGUAUUAGCUUGCUGGGCUGUGUAACAAAUACCACAGGAGGUAGCUGGGAACAGGGGUGGGAGUGUGGGUCCCCAUCAUAGGGGAGGAGGAGGGAAAGGAAAGGGGGAAAAGGGAGACGGAGAGGGGAAGGGGAGCAGGGAUGGUGGAAGAGAGGGGAAGUGGGGAGAAACAGGAGGAAGAGAUGAGGAAGGGAGAGGGAAGGGAGGGGAGGAAGAGUUCAUUGCUGCAGGUUGGCUGGGCUGAGUGUUUUACAGAUGCCGUGGCUGAAUCCUGACAGCCCCCUGAGAAGUUGGCUUCUCUGUGGCUUAUAGCUAAGCUAAGCCACCUGCUGGAGCUGAGAUUUGGACCCCAGCAGCCUGAAUCCCAGCCCCUGCACACUGCCCCUCUGGGUAGGGGACUUCCAGCAU